UUAAUAAAAGGAAUAAGCUGAAAAGAAAAUGAAUGAUAGCUCAUUCACUCAUAUCAUGAUAGCUGAAACCAUACAGAUUUAUAUCAGAGUUGCACAAGUCAGAAUUCGGUUUAUAACCACAGCACGGAAACUGCCCUGAUUAAAAUCACCAAUGACCUUCUUAUGGCAGCUGAUUCUGGACUAAUAUCUAUUCUCAUUCUCCUCGACCUGAAUGCGGCCUUUGACACUAUUUGUCACAGCACCCUCAUCACUAGACUAUAUCCACUCUUGGCAUCACCAAUACCCCACUUAACUGUUUUAAAUCAUUAUCCAUUCAACUUAAAUCAUUCACUUCUCAGCAUUUUACAGUUUCUUUGGGUGUACCCCAGGGCUCAGUCCUGGGCCCCCUGCUUUUAACAUCUAUCAAAAUUAUAACUGCAUUAUCUAAUGCAGUACAUAAUAUUGGUGGCGUAUCACUGUUUAACCCUUCAGUUUUAAAGGUCUUUACACCUUUAAAAUAACCCCCUACCACCCCCCAAAAAAUGUAUAAAAUAAUGAAUGUAGUUUUUAGCUUUAAAAAUAGAGAAAAAAUGUAUUCAAGAUCAAAACAAGCUUGCAUUACUAUAGCAACUAUAAACAGUAGACUGGGAGGAUUUCUUAGUAUUUAUUUCUUUAUUUCUUUAACAUUUGAUUGGGCGAUGAGUGAUGCAUAUAACUGAAAGGACAGAAAGGAGAGCAGAACAAACUCCUAACAGGAGGAGACUCACCCAUGGCCUAUGAGACAGAGCAUCAGGAGACUCAAUACUGCUUUCCUAACUUCAACUCAUCAUGCAUCAAAGGAAAACGCUCUAGACAUGAAUAUAUCAUCAUGUAUGUGUUCUUUUCACUGCUGUCAGCAUGGACUGUGUUUCUGAACCUGCUGGUGAUCAUCUCCAUCUCUCACUUCAAGAAGCUUCACACUCCAACCAACAUGAUUAUUCUCUCUCUGGCUGUAAAUGAUCUGCUUAUUGGACUUAUUGUGAUGCCCAUACAGGCCAUCAGACUGAUUGAGACAUGUUGGUACUUUGGAGAAACUUUCUGUGGAUUCUAUUUAAUACUAAUAGGGCUUAUUUUCUCAGCAUCUCUUAGUAACUUGGUUUUAAUUGCUGUUGAUCGUUAUGUGGCUGUGUGUCACCCUUUACUGUACCCACAGAAAAUAACCAUCACCAACAUGUUAAAGAGCAUCUGUCUGAACUGGCUUUACUACUCAGCUUAUAACACGUCCUUUGUAGUUAAUAAUGGAAGUUUUGACUCUUCACACAGAACCGAAGUGUGUUAUGGAAAGUGUUCAGUCAUGAUGAGUUUUAGUUGGAUCAUCACUGAUCUGUUCAUGUCUUUUAUUUUUCCCUGUCUCAUAAUGAUCACUUUAUAUUCAAGAAUUUUCUAUGUAGUACAUCAGCAAGUGAAGGUUAUAAACUCUCUGAUGAAGGGUGGUAAACGUGUAACAGAGAGUUCAGUGAAGAGGAAAUCUGAGAGUAAAGCUGCUCUGACUUUAGGAAUCAUUGUGACCAUUUAUCUGCUUUUCUAUAUCCCAUACUAUAUCUGUAUUUUAUUUGUGAACUCCUCCACAACUAUAACUGUUUUGGCGUGGGCUGUAUGUGCUAACUCAGGUGUGAAUCCUCUGAUUUAUGCUUUAUACUACAGCUCAUUUAAAAAGACAGUUAAACACAUCUUCACUCUGAAAAUUUUUCAGCCGGCAUCCUUUCUGUUAUGUAUUUUUAAAUAACAUGAAGUGACUCUCACUUGACAUCAUCUGUGAUAUUAUAAAUUAAAACAAUUACAUAUAAACAUAAGGUCACUUUUAAGAAUAAAUAACUAAACUGGUAGUGAUAA
Molecule: non-coding RNA, 1851 nt
Organism: Danio rerio (zebrafish)
Lineage: Eukaryota; Metazoa; Chordata; Actinopteri; Cypriniformes; Danionidae
Source: RefSeq, a predicted model, not a curated record